GGAAGUGUCGUAACAAGGUUUCCGUAGGUGAACCUGCGGAAGGAUCAUUAUUGUAUAACCGAGGUGCGAGGGCUGUCGCUGACCCGAAAGGUCGUGCACGCCCGAGUGCCCUCACACACAUCCAUCUCACCCCUAUGUGCACCACCGCGUGGGUCCCCCUUUGGCUUGUUCGGAGGGGGGCUUACGUUUUCACACAAACUUUGUAUGCAGUGUAGAAUGUAUUUUUUGUUUUUGCGAUCACGCAAUCAAUACAACUUUCAACAACGGAUCUCUUGGCUCUC
RNAcentral lists this unclassified non-coding RNA (281 nucleotides) under plant metagenome. RNAcentral describes it as "partial contains small subunit ribosomal RNA, internal transcribed spacer 1, and 5.8S ribosomal RNA". The stretch from base 1 to 50 matches the Rfam family "Eukaryotic small subunit ribosomal RNA", at positions 1782 to 1831 of the family's 1831-position model. The record is from RNAcentral.